UACAGAGGGGGCGGGCGUUGUUCGGAAUUACUGGGCGUAAAGGGCGCGUAGGCGGCCUUCUAAGUCGAACGUGAAAUCCCCGGGCUCAACCCGGGAACUGCGUCCGAUACUGGGAGGCUUGAAUCCGGGAGAGGGAUGUGGAAUUCCAGGUGUAGCGGUGAAAUGCGUAGAUAUCUGGAGGAACACCGGUGGCGAAGGCGGCAUCCUGGACCGGUAUUGACGCUGAGGCGCGAAAGCCAGGGGAGCAAACGGG
Molecule: ribosomal RNA, 253 nt
Filed under: uncultured bacterium
Lineage: Bacteria
Description: partial 16S ribosomal RNA
Rfam family: Bacterial small subunit ribosomal RNA
Source: RNAcentral